This 748-nucleotide ribosomal RNA is filed under the name uncultured Ruminococcus sp. RNAcentral describes it as "bacterial SSU rRNA". It matches the Rfam family "Bacterial small subunit ribosomal RNA", at positions 28 to 776 of the family's 1533-position model. The record is from RNAcentral. Lineage: Bacteria; Bacillati; Bacillota; Clostridia; Eubacteriales; Oscillospiraceae.
GAUGAACGCUGGCGGCGUGCCUAACACAUGCAAGUCGAGCGAAGCACUUUGCUUAGAUUCUUCGGAUGAAGAGGAUUGUGACUGAGCGGCGGACGGGUGAGUAACGCGUGGGCAACCUGCCUCAUACAGGGGGAUAACAGUUAGACAUGACUGCUAAUACCGCAUAAGACCACAGCACCGCAUGGUGCGGGGGUAAAAACUCCGGUGGUAUGAGAUGGACCCGCGUCUGAUUAGCUAGUUGGUAAGGUAACGGCUUACCAAGGCGACGAUCAGUAGCCGACCUGAGAGGGUGACCGGCCACAUUGGGACUGAGACACGGCCCAAACUCCUACGGGAGGCAGCAGUGGGGAAUAUUGCACAAUGGGGGAAACCCUGAUGCAGCGACGCCGCGUGAGCGAAGAAGUAUUUCGGUAUGUAAAGCUCUAUCAGCAGGGAAGAAAAUGACGGUACCUGACUAAGAAGCACCGGCUAAAUACGUGCCAGCAGCCGCGGUAAUACGUAUGGUGCAAGCGUUAUCCGGAUUUACUGGGUGUAAAGGGAGCGUAGACGGAUGGGCAAGUCUGAUGUGAAAACCCGGGGCUCAACCCCGGGACUGCAUUGGAAACUGUUCAUCUAGAGUGCUGGAGAGGUAAGUGGAAUUCCUAGUGUAGCGGUGAAAUGCGUAGAUAUUAGGAGGAACACCAGUGGCGAAGGCGGCUUACUGGACAGUAACUGACGUUGAGGCUCGAAAGCGUGGGGAGCAAACAGG